GAUGAACGCUGGCGGCGUGCCUAAUACAUGCAAGUCGAGCGAACGGACGAGAAGCUUGCUUCUCUGAUGUUAGCGGCGGACGGGUGAGUAACACGUGGAUAACCUACCUAUAAGACUGGGAUAACUUCGGGAAACCGUAGCUAAUACCGGAUAAUAUUUUGAACCGCAUGGUUCAAAAGUGAAAGACGGUCUUGCUGUCACUUAUAGAUGGAUCCGCGCUGCAUUAGCUAGUUGGUAAGGUAACGGCUUACCAAGGCAACGAUGCAUAGCCGACCUGAGAGGGUGGUCGGCCACACUGGAACUGAGACACGGUCCAGACUCCUGAGGGAGGCAGCAGUAGGGAAUCUUCCGCAAUGGGCGAAAGCCUGACGGAGCAACGCCGCGUGAGUGAUGAAAGUCUUCGGAUCGUAAAACUCUGUUAUUAGGGAAGAACAUAUGUGUAAGUAACUGUGCACAUCUUGACGGUACCUAAUCAGAAAGCCACGGCUAACUACGUG
RNAcentral lists this ribosomal RNA (497 nucleotides) under uncultured bacterium. Its description in RNAcentral is "partial 16S ribosomal RNA". It matches the Rfam family "Bacterial small subunit ribosomal RNA", at positions 28 to 507 of the family's 1533-position model. The record is from RNAcentral.